Molecule: non-coding RNA, 134 nt
Organism: Triticum aestivum (bread wheat)
Lineage: Eukaryota; Viridiplantae; Streptophyta; Magnoliopsida; Poales; Poaceae
Source: Rfam
AUUAUACUUCCUCCGUCCGGAAAUACUUGUCAUCAAAAUGGAUAAAAAAGAUGUAUCUAGAACUAAAAUACAUCUAGAUACAUCCUCUUUUAUUCAUUUUGAUGACAAGUAUUUCCGGACGGUGGGAGUAUAUC